AUAUUGCGCACGAACCAUUCGACUAAAGCUGGCGUAAUGUCAGAUCGAAUACCACUUGAUAUUUCUGCUGGGUUUUCUGCCUGUGAUAUCCAUCCCGUGCUAAGGCUUCCACUUGACAAGCUGCUGGCCUUAGCCUUCACUAAGUCAAUGGAAAAAAUUUUGCUUGCUGGACGAUGAACAGCAACCGCAGACGGAUAGGCGUGCCGUGGAGCUAUUUCUUCGCGUGCGCGCAAUGCUUCUUCAAGCGGCCUGGGAGCAGAGAACGAAGUGGAAUCGAGCGGAGAGAUACGACCAUUUUCUCCUCCCCGUCCCACAGCUAGCUGCGGCUGUGACUGAUGGCCAUGCUGCUCAUCAUUCUCGUCACCGGCAGCAGCUUAGGCACAUGCUUCUCACUGGAUUAUACGCCCAACGGGCGUAGGGGUCGCGAUGCCGGGUGGUUGCGGCCAUCACGCGGCGCGCGGAUUUUGGUUUGUAUUUUACUUGCCCGGUUGUUGGAUUCACAGAGCUGCUACAAUUUCUCAAGCUAGUAUAACUAGUGAUCCAUAUGA
RNAcentral lists this long non-coding RNA (548 nucleotides) under Setaria italica (foxtail millet). RNAcentral's name for it is "long non-coding RNA (SITA_LNC006181)". The record is from RNAcentral. Lineage: Eukaryota; Viridiplantae; Streptophyta; Magnoliopsida; Poales; Poaceae.